RNAcentral lists this ribosomal RNA (778 nucleotides) under uncultured Neocallimastigales. RNAcentral's name for it is "partial large subunit ribosomal RNA". It matches the Rfam family "Eukaryotic large subunit ribosomal RNA", at positions 24 to 645 of the family's 3401-position model. The record is from RNAcentral. Lineage: Eukaryota; Fungi; Neocallimastigomycota; Neocallimastigomycetes; Neocallimastigales.
UAUCUCUGUAGAGUCUGCAUAUCAAUAAGCGGAGGAAAAGAAACUAACUAGGAUUCCCUCAGUAACGGCGAGUGAGGCGGGAAGAGCUCAAAUUUGAAAUCUUCAAGGUUCUACCUUGACGAAUUGUAGUUUAAAGAAGUGUUUUCUGUUGGAGUUUUGGUAAAAGUUCUUUGGAAUAGGACAUCAUAGAGGGUGAGAAUCCCGUAUUUGACCAUUAUUUCCAGCUUUGUGAUACACUUUCAAAGAGUCGGAUUGUUUGGGAAUGUAGUCCAAAAUGGGUGGUAAAUUUCAUCUAAAGCUAAAUACUGGCGAGAGACCGAUAGCGAACAAGUACCGUGAGGGAAAGAUGAAAAGAACUUUGAAAAGAGAGUUAAACAGUACGUGAAAUUGUCAAAAGGGAAGCGUUUGACACCAGUGUUGUUUUCUCGAAAAUCAAUUAAAAAAGGCAGGAUUUUGUGUUGUAUUGACUUUAUCAGCUUUCUGCACUCUUUUCUUGUCUUUUUUAAUGCACUUUUCGUUUAACAAGUCAACAUCAAUUUCUUUUGUUGUAAAAGGGUCAUUGGAAGGUGGCUUUCUUUUCGGAGAAAGUGUUUAUAGCCUUUGGCCUUCUGCAAUCGGAGAGAUUGAGGUCUGCAGCGUAGAUCCUUCGGGGCUAGAUACAUUAGAUGCUAAGUUAUAGCUUUUUAUAGACAACUUGUUGACUAUGAUUAAGUCAUGUAGCUUACUCGCUUAUGCCUAUUUUACCUACGCUUAGGAUGUUGAAGUCAUCGUAUCGCGC